This 224-nucleotide long non-coding RNA is filed under the name Lathyrus oleraceus (garden pea). RNAcentral describes it as "Pisum sativum (pea) long non-coding RNA (PSAT_LNC029444)". The record is from RNAcentral. Lineage: Eukaryota; Viridiplantae; Streptophyta; Magnoliopsida; Fabales; Fabaceae.
UCUUACUAGGAUUUCUGUCUCCUUGUACACAAUUUGCCUGUUUAUAGGCCUUCUUUCAAAAAUCAAUACAACCCUCUUUCAAAAAAGAUGCUUUGUUUUUUACUUUCUGUUUUGUUUGCGUAAACGCCCAUUGAUUUAAUUUGAAUUAAUAUAUGCAUUUGAAUAUGACCAAUGUUUACCAAAAUACAUGCAUAGAAUAGCAAUAGCAAUUACUACAAGACUUC